UGGGGAAUACUUGCACAAUGGGGGAAACCCUGAUGCAGCGACGCCGCGUGAGUGAAGAAGUAAUUCGUUAUGUAAAGCUCUAUCAGCAGGGAAGAAAAUGACGGUACCUGAGUAAGAAGCCCCGGCUAACUACGUGCC
RNAcentral lists this ribosomal RNA (138 nucleotides) under uncultured bacterium. RNAcentral's name for it is "partial 16S ribosomal RNA". It matches the Rfam family "Bacterial small subunit ribosomal RNA", at positions 355 to 509 of the family's 1533-position model. The record is from RNAcentral.